UCUGUCGUGAACGUUUCACUCUGAUCUCUAUCUGCAAUCUCGGGAUUUGAGUUUGGAAAGAUUUCCUCUGGAACGGCCAAGGGUGAAAAUCAUGUCGAUCGGUGGGUUGAUAGUCUCGUGUUUAAAGUGAUUUAGUUCAAUUCAAGCACCGUGCAGCACAAUAUUGUCCUUCAAUCACGAUGAGUAACAUGCAACCGGAAGAGUACGAAAAUACGGGAUGGUUGUCGUACUUUAGCCGGCACAAAACCACGUACACGGCGGCCGACAUACACAAGAUCAGCAACGAGCUGAAUAAUGUCCGCAAGAACCUGACCGCGACGCAAUAUGCUUACGGUGAGCUUAGUAGCGAGCUGAAGGCUUUGCGGAGCCUCCAGGAGCAGCAGCGCGUAAGUGAAGAGUACGAGCAGCGAAUCCAGAGCAAAUCGGCCGCACUUCCCAAGACAUUUGAAAAGCGGCUUAAGGAGCAAACCGAGGAGAUCAAAGGAUUGAAGGGCGAGUUGGUCGGUUGUCGGAAUGAGUUGAACAAACAGAUCGCUGCACUGACAGUGACCUGCAGUGAGUUGGGUAAGGUUUCAAAAUCAAAAUCGAAAGGUUCCGACAUUGUGGCCAGUGGCUGUGGACCGGCAACGGUUGGACUUGAGAGCCGCAUAAUUGCCGCCGAGCUUCAGAUCGAUCAGCUGUCCCAGAGACAUCAGGAGCGUCUCAGUGCACUCGAGACGAAGGUGUGCCAGCUGGAGCGUUGUAAUGAGCUCAACGUCGGAGGUGGUGUCGGAGACCCUAGUUCCGAAAACAAUGACCGACUGAAAGGUCUCGAGGGAGAUUUCAAUCGUAAGCUGCAAGAUUUGACCGAUCUCGUGGUGGAACUGCAACGCAAGCUGGCUCAAAGUGAAGCCAAACAGGUGGAGAUGCUCCAGAAGCUAUCGAUCGCACAGACUUCGUUGUACGAGCAGCUGGAGGCACGGUACGAUGAACAGUGUGGCAAGUUGCGUGAGCUGCAGGUUCGCCUUAGUCACGUGGACCACCGCGACGACAUCGAUUCCACGUUCGUCUGAACAUGGGGCCAUUGCUCCUAAUGUUUACGUUGUAGUAAAAUGUCAGGUCGUAUUAGUCCUUGCGUUAGUGGCUAUCACAUUUCCCAACAUUCAUUUCAGCAGAGCUAGUGAACUAGAAAGCUUCUCGACCGACCCGUUAGCUCAUCAUGCCGAUCUAGUACAUCAUUCGGAGGCACUGCUUCACA
Anopheles darlingi is the source of this 1237-nucleotide RNA transcript. RefSeq lists it as uncharacterized. The transcript is spliced from 3 exons. NCBI's taxonomy places the organism in Eukaryota, Metazoa, Arthropoda, Insecta, Diptera, Culicidae. The record is from RefSeq and is a predicted model, not a curated record.